This 1019-nucleotide ribosomal RNA is filed under the name uncultured organism. RNAcentral's name for it is "bacterial SSU rRNA". It matches the Rfam family "Bacterial small subunit ribosomal RNA", at positions 356 to 1376 of the family's 1533-position model. The record is from RNAcentral.
GAGGAAUAUUGGUCAAUGGUCGGCAGACUGAACCAGCCAAGUCGCGUGAGGGAAGACGGCCCUACGGGUUGUAAACCUCUUUUGUCGGAGAGUAAAGUACGCUACGUGUAGCGUAUUGCAAGUAUCCGAAGAAAAAGCAUCGGCUAACUCCGUGCCAGCAGCCGCGGUAAUACGGAGGAUGCGAGCGUUAUCCGGAUUUAUUGGGUUUAAAGGGUGCGUAGGCGGCACGCCAAGUCAGCGGUGAAAUUUUCGGGCUCAACCCGGACUGUGCCGUUGAAACUGGCGAGCUAGAGUGCACAAGAGGCAGGCGGAAUGCGUGGUGUAGCGGUGAAAUGCAUAGAUAUCACGCAGAACCCCGAUUGCGAAGGCAGCCUGCUAGGGUGCGACAGACGCUGAGGCACGAAAGCGUGGGUAUCGAACAGGAUUAGAUACCCUGGUAGUCCACGCAGUAAACGAUGAAUACUAACUGUUUGCGAUACAAUGUAAGCGGUACAGCGAAAGCGUUAAGUAUUCCACCUGGGGAGUACGCCGGCAACGGUGAAACUCAAAGGAAUUGACGGGGGCCCGCACAAGCGGAGGAACAUGUGGUUUAAUUCGAUGAUACGCGAGGAACCUUACCCGGGCUCAAACGCAGGGGGAAUAUAUAUGAAAGUAUAUAGCUAGCAAUAGUCACCUGCGAGGUGCUGCAUGGUUGUCGUCAGCUCGUGCCGUGAGGUGUCGGCUUAAGUGCCAUAACGAGCGCAACCCCUAUCGACAGUUACUAACGGGUGAAGCCGAGGACUCUGUCGAGACUGCCGGCGCAAGCCGCGAGGAAGGUGGGGAUGACGUCAAAUCAGCACGGCCCUUACGUCCGGGGCGACACACGUGUUACAAUGGCAGGUACAGAAGGCAGCCAGUCAGCAAUGACGCGCGAAUCCCGAAAACCUGUCUCAGUUCGGAUUGGAGUCUGCAACCCGACUCCAUGAAGCUGGAUUCGCUAGUAAUCGCGCAUCAGCCAUGGCGCGGUGAAUACGUUCCCG